Molecule: ribosomal RNA, 373 nt
Filed under: Wolbachia endosymbiont of Anopheles introlatus
Lineage: Bacteria; Pseudomonadati; Pseudomonadota; Alphaproteobacteria; Rickettsiales; Anaplasmataceae
Description: bacterial SSU rRNA
Rfam family: Bacterial small subunit ribosomal RNA
Source: RNAcentral
GCCGGGUUUCACACAGGUGUUGCAUGGCUGUCGUCAGCUCGUGUCGUGAGAUGUUGGGUUAAGUCCCGCAACGAGCGCAACCCUCAUCCUUAGUUACCAUCAGGUAAUGCUGGGGACUUUAAGGAAACUGCCAGUGAUAAACUGGAGGAAGGUGGGGAUGAUGUCAAGUCAUCAUGGCCCUUAUGGAGUGGGCUACACACGUGCUACAAUGGUGGCUACAAUGGGCUGCAAAGUCGCGAGGCUAAGCUAAUCCCUUAAAAGCCAUCUCAGUUCGGAUUGUACUCUGCAACUCGAGUGCAUGAAGUUGGAAUCGCUAGUAAUCGUGGAUCAGCACGCCACGGUGAAUACGUUCUCGGGUCUUGUACACACUGCC